ACUGAAGGAGCGAUAGUGCUCCGUAACUCGUGUAUAU
This 37-nucleotide non-coding RNA is filed under the name Trypanosoma brucei brucei. The record is from RNAcentral. Lineage: Eukaryota; Euglenozoa; Kinetoplastea; Trypanosomatida; Trypanosomatidae.